CCUACGGGAGGCUGCAGUGAGGAAUAUUGGUCAAUGGGCGCAAGCCUGAACCAGCCAAGUCGCGUGAGGGAUGACGGUCCUAUGGAUUGUAAACCUCUUUUGUCGGGGAGCAAGGCCAGCCACGUGUGGCGGGCAGGAGGGUACCCGAAGAAAAACCAUCGGCUAACUCCGUGCCAGCAGCCGCGGUAAUACGGAGGAUGCGAGCGUUAUCCGGAUUUAUUGGGUUGAAAGGGUGCGUAGGCGGAAGGUUAAGUCAGCGGUAAAAGGUCGGUGCUCAACACCGGCCGGCCGUUGAAACUGGUCGUCGUGAGUGAGCGAGAGGUAUGCGGAAUGCGUGGUGUAGCGGUGAAAUGCAUAGAUAUCACGCAGAACUCCGAUUGCGAAGGCAGCAUACCGGCGCUCAACUGACGCUGAGGCACGAAAGCGUGGGGAUCGAACAGGAUUAGAUACCCGGGUAGUC
Molecule: ribosomal RNA, 460 nt
Filed under: uncultured bacterium
Lineage: Bacteria
Description: partial 16S ribosomal RNA
Rfam family: Bacterial small subunit ribosomal RNA
Source: RNAcentral